This 63-nucleotide transfer RNA is filed under the name Pectinatella magnifica. RNAcentral's name for it is "tRNA-Met". The record is from RNAcentral. Lineage: Eukaryota; Metazoa; Bryozoa; Phylactolaemata; Pectinatellidae.
GAUUAGAUAAGCUAAAAUAAGCUAUCGGGCUCAUACCUCGAGAAUGGGAUUUCCCUCUAAUCA